GAAAGGGGGGCAACCCCCGAGUAGAGUGGCGAACGGGUGAGUAAUACAUCGGAACGUAUCCAGUAGCGGGGGAUAACCUCUCGAAAGAGAGGCUAAUACCGCAUACGACCUACGGGUGAAAGAGGGGGAUCGCAAGACCUCUCACUAUUGGAGCGGCCGAUGUCGGAUUAGCUAGUUGGCGGGGUAAAAGCCCACCAAGGCUACGAUCCGUAGCUGGUCUGAGAGGACGACCAGCCACACUGGAACUGAGACACGGUCCAGACUCCUACGGGAGGCAGCAGUGGGGAAUUUUGGACAAUGGGCGCAAGCCUGAUCCAGCCAUGCCGCGUGAGUGAAGAAGGCCUUCGGGUUGUAAAGCUCUUUCGGCGGGGACGAAAAGGUCCGUGUUAACACCAUGGAUCCAUGACGGUACCCGCAGAAGAAGCACCGGCUAACUACGUGCCAGCAGCCGCGGUAAUACGUAGGGUGCAGGCGUUAAUCGGAAUUACUGGGCGUAAAGCGUGCGCAGGCGGUUUGCUAAGACAGGUGUGAAAUCCCCGGGCUUAACCUGGGAACUGCGCUUGUAACUGGCAAGCUAGAGUGUAGCAGAGGGGGGUGGAAUUCCACGUGUAGCAGUGAAAUGCGUAGAGAUGUGGAGGAACACCGAUGGCGAAGGCAGCCCCCUGGGCUAACACUGACGCUCAUGCACGAAAGCGUG
Molecule: ribosomal RNA, 697 nt
Filed under: uncultured Pseudomonadota bacterium
Lineage: Bacteria; Pseudomonadati; Pseudomonadota
Description: bacterial SSU rRNA
Rfam family: Bacterial small subunit ribosomal RNA
Source: RNAcentral